This 258-nucleotide long non-coding RNA is filed under the name Panax ginseng (ginseng). RNAcentral describes it as "long non-coding RNA (PGIN_LNC018266)". The record is from RNAcentral. Lineage: Eukaryota; Viridiplantae; Streptophyta; Magnoliopsida; Apiales; Araliaceae.
CUGCAUCUGACUAGACAUUUCAUCCAAGUCCACAUAUCUUAGUAAUGUGUAGUGAUGGCAUGAUAGUACUCAAUCGACCAAAAUGGCAGGAACUUCAUUUCACCUAAUAGUCUAAAAAUAAGCUAAAAACCAAAAUGCAUCUUUAAUUUUGGAAACGGAUGGAGUAUUUGACAACUGAAAUUAACAAACAGAUGAUAAGUCUCCUAUAAUAGAUAAUACAUGAAAACCAAUUCAAUCACAGAAAAAUUCAUACCCAAC